UGGGCAGAGCUGGGCUCAGGAUCUUUUACCAGGCAUGGGCCCUUAUGAGAGAGAAGCCUGUGAAAACCUGGUAUACUGUGGAAAAGACAGAAUUAGAGGGCAUGUGUGAAUCCUUGCUGAUGAAGGGGAAGACGGUCAAACUGAGAUCAAAUAAGGAACCAACAACAGUGAGGAACAACAGUAUAAAGAACAAAAACAGAGUGCCGAAGGCUCCUGAGGAGAGUGGUCUGUGGUUAAGAUGAGAUUUACCACCAUUCUGAGAGACAUCUUGUCUACCAUGCAGCAUCCUGAGGUUCUGUGAAGCAGCCACAGAGCCUAAUAGGAAGACAAAGCUGAUGUGGUUGUCAAGGCUUUCAGUAGACAUGAGUACUUUUAUAGACCCAAGUGAGAAUGUGCUGGAUGUAGGAGCCAGGCUAGGUUACACAUUUUAAUUUUUACUGCAAGACCUCAUGGUUUAUUUACAAAUCCUAAAUUCUUUCACUUCCAGGUUUAAAACUUUUACUCUGAGGAUAUAAUCCACAGCCUAGCACCUUUAAAGAAACUCUCCCACAGACUUGCUGCUUCCAUAGAAUGGAAAAUUGGAGCAUGGUUUACAAGACAGUGAAAACCAAGCAGUAUUCCAAGAUAUCAGCUCCAGAAAGCUACAGUAACUGUCUUGGGACUAGAAAGAAUGAUUAAACAGUUCCCAGUCCAGCAAGAAGCAUCUGUCUUUUGUCAUCUUCUCCAUGCAACAUAAAAUGUGCAGAGGAAGGCAGUCAUGCCAACAGGGGUGACAGAGGUCAGUUGUUGGUAACAUUUUCCACUGUUCUCUUACAACUGAAACCUCAAAUCCCAUUACAGCCCAACUGCCUGUCAGCUAUGAUAAUGACAGAUGCAGGCCAAA
Molecule: long non-coding RNA, 883 nt
Organism: Apodemus sylvaticus (European woodmouse)
Lineage: Eukaryota; Metazoa; Chordata; Mammalia; Rodentia; Muridae
Exons: 3
Source: RefSeq, a predicted model, not a curated record